GCCAGCGUAGCUCAGUCGGCAGAGCGGCUGAUUCGUAAUCAGCAGGUCGAGGGUUCGAUCCCCCCCGCUGGCU
This 73-nucleotide transfer RNA is filed under the name Candidatus Aminicenantota bacterium. Its description in RNAcentral is "Candidatus Aminicenantes bacterium (hot springs metagenome) tRNA-Thr". It matches the Rfam family "tRNA". From Rfam's summary of the family: Transfer RNA (tRNA) molecules are approximately 80 nucleotides in length. Their secondary structure includes four short double-helical elements and three loops (D, anti-codon, and T loops). RNAcentral also lists the same sequence under 1 other name. The record is from RNAcentral. Lineage: Bacteria; Candidatus Aminicenantota.